This 95-nucleotide transfer RNA is filed under the name bacterium (Candidatus Blackallbacteria) CG13_big_fil_rev_8_21_14_2_50_49_14. Its description in RNAcentral is "tRNA-OTHER". It matches the Rfam family "tRNA". From Rfam's summary of the family: Transfer RNA (tRNA) molecules are approximately 80 nucleotides in length. Their secondary structure includes four short double-helical elements and three loops (D, anti-codon, and T loops). The record is from RNAcentral. Lineage: Bacteria; Candidatus Blackallbacteria. RNAcentral also lists the same sequence under 2 other names.
GCCCCCGUAGCUCAGUUAGAAGAGCAAUUCCUGCGAAACAGUAAGCGCUUACUGGCCAAGGGGAUAGGUCGCUGGUGCGAUUCCAGCCGGGGGCA